GGCAUAACAUGCUUGUUGGGGGUUGUAGUUCGCUGAUUGGAAUUGUUGCUCAUUGUACGUGGUGGUGCAUGAGUCGUAUCACGAUCGUUUGGGUAGGCAGGCUCCGUGCUCGCGCAUCGAAUUGCUUCCCUGCGAUCCUUUCAGUCCUAGCCCAAGUGAAUGUUUUGUAAGUGGGCAAAUGUCGGGUUCCUGUGUUGCAUACCCACACUAGUGGAAUUCAAUAAUGUUGCUGUCCCAUAUUUCGCCUUUGUGCCUCCUUUGGGGCAUCGGGUGAACAUUGUAGCGGUACCUGUGUUCCAAACAUGCUGUUUCGGCUGUUGUGGCCCAUGGACUGUCGCUCGUGCUAUCGGAUGCGGAAUGCUAUGCGGGCGGGAGG
RNAcentral lists this long non-coding RNA (376 nucleotides) under Ricinus communis (castor bean). RNAcentral describes it as "long non-coding RNA (RCOM_LNC003653)". Lineage: Eukaryota; Viridiplantae; Streptophyta; Magnoliopsida; Malpighiales; Euphorbiaceae. The record is from RNAcentral.